This 241-nucleotide unclassified non-coding RNA is filed under the name Ascomycota sp. Its description in RNAcentral is "partial contains small subunit ribosomal RNA, internal transcribed spacer 1, and 5.8S ribosomal RNA". The stretch from base 1 to 47 matches the Rfam family "Eukaryotic small subunit ribosomal RNA", at positions 1785 to 1831 of the family's 1831-position model. The record is from RNAcentral. Lineage: Eukaryota; Fungi; Ascomycota.
AAAGUCGUAACAAGGUCUCCGUUGGUGAACCAGCGGAGGGAUCAUUACUGAGUGUAAAAACUCCCAAACCCAUUGUGAACAUACCUCUGUUGCUUCGGCGGAUGCGCCCCGGGCGCGCCCUCACAGGCGUGCCCCGGAAUCAGGCGCCCGCCGGGGGACCGAAACUCUUGUCUUCCUAGAGAAUCUCUGAGUGUGAUUUUAAAUCAAAUCAAAACUUUCAACAACGGAUCUCUUGGCUCUA